RNAcentral lists this small nucleolar RNA (123 nucleotides) under Olea europaea subsp. europaea. RNAcentral's name for it is "Small nucleolar RNA SNORD14". It matches the Rfam family "Small nucleolar RNA SNORD14". Rfam says of the family: U14 small nucleolar RNA (U14 snoRNA) is required for early cleavages of eukaryotic precursor rRNAs. In yeasts, this molecule possess a stem-loop region (known as the Y-domain) which is essential for function. The record is from Rfam by way of RNAcentral. Lineage: Eukaryota; Viridiplantae; Streptophyta; Magnoliopsida; Lamiales; Oleaceae.
CGUCUGUGAUGAUAAAUCCAAAUGCUUGUUUCUCAAAACAUUCGCAGUGGCCGCCUAAGAGCUUUCGCCUUCAUCAGGCUUGAGAGCUUAUGCUGCUUCUAUCCUUCCUUGAUGACUGAGACA